This 101-nucleotide microRNA precursor is filed under the name Marmota monax (woodchuck). Lineage: Eukaryota; Metazoa; Chordata; Mammalia; Rodentia; Sciuridae. The record is from RNAcentral.
CGGAAGGUCACGGGGGAUCUUGUUUAGGUUGCAGAUUCUGCUCUGUAGUCUGGGGUGGGGACUGAGAUUCUGCAUUUUUAACAAGAUUCCAGGACAAUACU